UGCUCAGUGCUCCCCUACUAAGCAGGAGA
This 29-nucleotide non-coding RNA is filed under the name Homo sapiens (human). Lineage: Eukaryota; Metazoa; Chordata; Mammalia; Primates; Hominidae. The record is from RNAcentral.